UAAAUGUACGGAGGAGUCAAUAAACACAGAGUUUUGACCGGUAUCUGCAAGAUAUGCAGCAUUUAUCACCGUCACCUCGCCUCAGUUCCUCCAUUCUAUGCAGUCUAGCUCAAACACCAGACCAGGAUCUGUGAAAAGCUUGAAGUCAUGGCAGUGGGUUUGGACACGUUAUCCUUUCGUGACAGCUUGGAGAUCGUGCAACUCCGACCUAACGUAAUACGCCAAAAGUAUUGCAGAAAGAGGAGCUCCAAAGAUUUUUUCCAUCCACUGAUGAACUACGAGCAGCAGAUGGAGCUUCAAAUGAGGAAUAAUGGGAGCAAAAAUGGACUUCCAGCAAACAGGUAUCCCUUUCAUCCUCUCGUGUGGACGAUCAGCAGGACAUCCAGCGCUCUCAAGUGUUGCCAUCUGUCAACGUGACUGUUGGUCAUGCUCCUGCCUGUGGAGAUUCAAAUCCACCUCCUUUCCACCUUUUCUCCAUAACAACAAUGGUCACCCCAUCUCAAAUCCAGCUCUGCAAGAUGGUCAUUCGCUGGCAGAUCACUCUUGAAUGUCCUCAGUUUGCCUCUCAAGAGACAGAUAUCCAAGUCACCUCAACAGGUGUCUUUUACUGCAUUGCAACAGCUGUUCAAACAUUUCUGGAGGAAUCCCCUACUCAUCCAGAAUGCAAAGCUCUCAAAAAGAUGUAAAUAUUAAAAAAAAAAAGACUGC
Molecule: long non-coding RNA, 708 nt
Organism: Oryzias latipes (Japanese medaka)
Lineage: Eukaryota; Metazoa; Chordata; Actinopteri; Beloniformes; Adrianichthyidae
Source: RefSeq, a predicted model, not a curated record